RNAcentral lists this ribosomal RNA (510 nucleotides) under Triticum aestivum (bread wheat). RNAcentral describes it as "partial small subunit ribosomal RNA". Lineage: Eukaryota; Viridiplantae; Streptophyta; Magnoliopsida; Poales; Poaceae. The record is from RNAcentral.
AUGCCUCGGAGGUCGACCAUGGAAGCCAUUUUCUUGGUACGACAACUUAUGGAGAGAUAUAGGGAGCAUAAGAAGGACUUGCAUAUGGUGUUCAUUGACUUGGAGAAGGCCUAUGAUAAGAUACCGCGGAAUGUCAUGUGGUGGGCCUUGGAGAAACACAAAGUCCCAGCAAAGUACAUUACCCUCAUCAAGGACAUGUACAAUAAUGUUGUGACAAGUGUUCGAACAAGUGAUGUCGACACCGAUGACUUCCCGAUUAAGAUAGGACUGCAUCAGGGGUCAGCUUUGAGCCCUUAUCUUUUUGCAUUGGUGAUGGAUGAGGUCACAAGGGGUAUACAAGGAGAUAUCCCAUGGUGUAUGCUCUUUGCGGAUGAUGUGGUGCUAGUUGACGAUAGUCCGACGGGGGUAAAUAGGAAGUUAGAGUUAUGGAGACAAACCUUGGAAUCGAAAGGGUUUAGGCUUAGUAGAACUAAAACCGAGUACAUGAUGUGCGGUUUCAGUACUACUAGC